Molecule: ribosomal RNA, 253 nt
Filed under: uncultured bacterium
Lineage: Bacteria
Description: partial 16S ribosomal RNA
Rfam family: Bacterial small subunit ribosomal RNA
Source: RNAcentral
UACGAAGGGGGCUAGCGUUGUUCGGAAUCACUGGGCGGAAAGGGCGCGUAGGCGGCUUUAUAAGUCGGGGGUGAAAGCCUGUGGCUCAACCACAGAAUUGCCUUCGAUACUGUAGAGCUUGAGACCGGAAGAGGUAAGUGGAACUGCGAGUGUAGAGGUGAAAUUCGUAGAUAUUCGCAAGAACACCAGUGGCGAAGGCGGCUUACUGGUCCGGUUCUGACGCUGAGGCGCGAAAGCGUGGGGAGCAAACAGG